Molecule: ribosomal RNA, 417 nt
Filed under: uncultured microorganism
Description: bacterial SSU rRNA
Rfam family: Bacterial small subunit ribosomal RNA
Source: RNAcentral
GAGUUUGAUCUUGGCUCAGGACGAACGCUGGCGGCGUGCCUAAUACAUGCAAGUCGAGCGAAUCACCGGGAGCUUGCUCUCGGCGAUUAGCGGCGGACGGGUGAGUAACACGUGGGCAACCUGCCUGUAAGACUGGGAUAACUUCGGGAAACCGGAGCUAAUACCGGAUCAAUCUUUUCCUCGCAUGAGGAAAAGCUAAAAGACGGUUUCGGCUGUCACUUACAGAUGGGCCCGCGGCGCAUUAGCUAGUUGGUGAGGUAACGGCUCACCAAGGCGACGAUGCGUAGCCGACCUGAGAGGGUGAUCGGCCACACUGGGACUGAGACACGGCCCAGACUCCUACGGGAGGCAGCAGUAGGGAAUCUUCCGCAAUGGACGAAAGUCUGACGGAGCAACGCCGCGUGAGUGAUGAAGGCC